Molecule: long non-coding RNA, 865 nt
Organism: Solanum dulcamara
Lineage: Eukaryota; Viridiplantae; Streptophyta; Magnoliopsida; Solanales; Solanaceae
Exons: 5
Source: RefSeq, a predicted model, not a curated record
AACACCACCUGUGCAUUUUAGAAAUCACCACCAUCAUUAUACACCGACGGCGGUCUUCGUACGCUACCGUCGGUCUUCCCAUUCUUCCAUUGAUGGGAGCAUUAAGCGAAUCUUUGUGUGCUCCACCGCCACCAGAUUGCUACUCUUAACAGUUCUGGUGACGAUGUCCGAUCACAAAACCCUAAAUCAAUUUUCCCGCCGAUCGAUCUAUUGUGUAUGUUAAGGAUGUUCAUACGCUGUUUAACUGAAAGCCGGAACUUCAUACGCUACUGGCGCAUCUCAGAGUACUCCACCGGAUUGCUUCUAUUAACUGGACGAUGUCGAUCAAAACCCUAAACCCUAAAUCAGUUUUCCCGCCGAACUAUCUGCUCAAGGAGAUGAGGAGCAUUAAGCGAAUACCUGAGGUUAUUUGGAGGUUAUCUUGUUGUUGAGGAGUUGGUUCUCAACAACCUCAAUGAUGGUUCCAGCAGGGUGUACUAAUAUACCCUUUCAAAGUUUCAAUACUUUUUAUGACUUCACUAGUUUUAAUCGUUUAGACUAAUUUCACCUGCAAAUUUGUGUGUUGCUUGCACAAACGGCAGAGACUGGGAGAUGAGGAGCAUUAAGCAAAUACCUGAGGAUCUGGUGUCUCAUGAGAUGGAUUGGUGCUAAUGGGAGAAAAAUAUGGUAAUCUUUUUGCAAAAUGUUGGACUGACAUCAGCUUUUCUAUUGUAUUGAUGUUGCUGUACAUAAUUUAUUUUGCCCGACAAGUAUGAUGUUCAUAACUUGGAAUGGUUGUUGUUGUCUAUAGGAUUGCAUGCAUUACCUCAACUGAUAGGCUGUUUGACGGUUUGUGUUCAUUAAUACCUUUUUUCAAAUGUUCUUU